GCUCCACCCAGUUCGAGCUUCCUGGCUGCUUUGUUUACCUAAGCAAGCCUGGGCAAUGGUGGGCGCCCCUCCCCCAGCCUGGCUGCUGCCUUGCAGUUUGAUCUCAGACUGCUGUGCUAGCAAUCAGCGAGACUCCGUGGGGUAGGACCCUCAGAGCCAGGUGCGGGGUAUAAUCUCGUGGUGCGCCGUUUUUUAAGCCCGUCGGAAAAGCGCAGUAUUCGGGUGGGAGUGACCCGAUUUUCCAGGUGCUGUCCGUCACCCCUUUCUUUGAUUAGGAAAGGAACUCCCUGACCCCUUGCGCUUCCCGAGUGAGGCAAUGCCUCGCCCUGCUUCGGCUCGCGCACGGUGCGCGCACCCACUGACCUGCGCCCACUGUCUGGCACUCCCUAGUGAGAUGAACCCGGUACCUCAGAUGGAAAUGCAGAAAUCACCCGUCUUCUGCGUCGCUCAGGCUGGGAGCUGUAGACUGGAGCUGUUCCUUUUCGGCCAUCUUGGCGCCUCCCUCAGGUCUCACAGUUUGGAGGAUAGAAUGGGAAAAUGCUGAUUGCAAGUUAUUUCCGACAUCCUUGAACUUACCUCCCACAUGUGAAUCACAGCUUCUACUGCAUGCCCACUCCUUUUGCCUAAAUAUGCAGUUAUCAUCAUACAUCCAGAAUUGCCCUCUGAAUAAAAAAUACUUUAACUUGAAG
RNAcentral lists this long non-coding RNA (689 nucleotides) under Homo sapiens (human). RNAcentral describes it as "HSALNT0075249". The record is from RNAcentral. Lineage: Eukaryota; Metazoa; Chordata; Mammalia; Primates; Hominidae.